This 481-nucleotide ribosomal RNA is filed under the name uncultured bacterium. RNAcentral's name for it is "partial 16S ribosomal RNA". It matches the Rfam family "Bacterial small subunit ribosomal RNA", at positions 28 to 507 of the family's 1533-position model. The record is from RNAcentral.
GACGAACGUUGGCGGCGUGCUUAAUACAUGCAAGUCCACUGAAGCAGUGGUAGCAAUAUCGCUGUGGAGGUGGCGCACGGGGGAGUAACACGUAGGUAAUCUGCCUUCAGGUCUGGCAUAACUCCGGGAAACCGGGGCUAAUAGCAGAUGAUGCAGCGGCUCGACAUCGAGACAGUUGUUAAAGCUAUGGCGCCUGAAGAUGAGCCUGCGUCUGAUUAGCUAGUUGGCGGGGUAACGGCCCACCAAGGCAACGAUCAGUAGCUGGUCUGAGAGGAUGAUCAGCCACACUGGAACUGAGACACGGUCCAGACUCCUACGGGAGGCAGCAGUAAGGAAUAUUGCUCAAUGGGAGAAAUCCUGAAGCAGCAACGCCGCGUGAGGGACGAAGGGCUUUUGCUUGUAAACCUCUGUAGUGAGAGAAAAAAAUCCCAAUCUUUGGGACAUGAUGGUAUCUCAAAAGUAAGCCCCGGCUAACUACGUG